This 213-nucleotide ribosomal RNA is filed under the name Triticum aestivum (bread wheat). Its description in RNAcentral is "partial small subunit ribosomal RNA". Lineage: Eukaryota; Viridiplantae; Streptophyta; Magnoliopsida; Poales; Poaceae. The record is from RNAcentral.
AUGAAUUGCCUCAGUUGGAACUGUCGGGGAGGGGGGAACACUCGGACAUUUCGUGAGCUUGCGACGAUUUGUCGGUCGCGUUCCCCCACUUUUGUAUUUUUAUGUGAGACUAGACAGAAGGAAGAAAAGAUGAGGAGACUUAGAAACAGAUUGGGUCUCAAAGGGUUUUGUGGUGUUGAUAGUGAUGGUAUGAGUGGUGGCUUGGCAUUAUAU